This 65-nucleotide transfer RNA is filed under the name Thalassiosira minuscula. It matches the Rfam family "tRNA", at positions 7 to 64 of the family's 71-position model. From Rfam's summary of the family: Transfer RNA (tRNA) molecules are approximately 80 nucleotides in length. Lineage: Eukaryota; Bacillariophyta; Thalassiosirophyceae; Thalassiosirales; Thalassiosiraceae. The record is from RNAcentral.
GUGGUAGCUCAGUGGUAGAGCGCACCCUUGGUAAGGGUGAGGUCGGGAGUUCAAUCCUCCCCAGC